This is a non-coding RNA of Macaca mulatta (Rhesus monkey), 86 nucleotides long. Lineage: Eukaryota; Metazoa; Chordata; Mammalia; Primates; Cercopithecidae. The record is from Rfam.
AAUGCUGUUUCAAGGUAGUACCAGUAUCUUGUGUUCAGUGGAACCAAGGUAAACACAAGAUACUGGUAUUACCUUGAGAUAGCAUU